Non-coding RNA from Pasteurellaceae bacterium NI1060, 66 nucleotides. The record is from Rfam. NCBI's taxonomy places the organism in Bacteria, Pseudomonadati, Pseudomonadota, Gammaproteobacteria, Pasteurellales, Pasteurellaceae.
AACGCACCUAGGCUGAUCCCCGAAAGCAAGACACCUUAUCUUGUUGGUGCGUUCCUAUCAUAAGGG